UGGGCAACCUGCCCUCAGCUCUGGGAUAACCCCGGGAAACCGGGGCUAAUACCGGAUACGACCUCCGCGGGCAUCUGCGGAGGUGGAAAGGUUUUCCGGCUGAGGAUGGGCCCGCGGCCUAUCAGCUAGUUGGUGGGGUGAUGGCCCACCAAGGCGACGACCGGUAGCCGGCCUGAGAGGGCGACCGACCACACUGGGACUGAGACACGGCCCAGACUCCUACGGGGGGCA
RNAcentral lists this ribosomal RNA (231 nucleotides) under uncultured bacterium. RNAcentral describes it as "partial 16S ribosomal RNA". It matches the Rfam family "Bacterial small subunit ribosomal RNA", at positions 118 to 350 of the family's 1533-position model. The record is from RNAcentral.